UGUCAUGCCAAUGGCACUGCCCGGUAGCUAAAUGCGGAAGAGAUAAGUGCUGAAAGCAUCUAAGCACGAAACUUGCCCCGAGAUGAGUUCUCCCUGACCCUUUAAGGGUCCUGAAGGAACGUUGAAGACGACGACGUUGAUAGGCCGGGUGUGUAAGCGCAGCGAUGCGUUGAGCUAACCGGUACUAAUGAACCGUGAGGCUUAACCUUACAACGCCGAAGCUGUU
This 226-nucleotide ribosomal RNA is filed under the name Escherichia coli. Its description in RNAcentral is "partial 23S ribosomal RNA". It matches the Rfam family "Bacterial large subunit ribosomal RNA", at positions 2722 to 2925 of the family's 2925-position model. Lineage: Bacteria; Pseudomonadati; Pseudomonadota; Gammaproteobacteria; Enterobacterales; Enterobacteriaceae. The record is from RNAcentral.